Non-coding RNA from Lutra lutra (Eurasian river otter), 616 nucleotides. NCBI's taxonomy places the organism in Eukaryota, Metazoa, Chordata, Mammalia, Carnivora, Mustelidae. The record is from the annotation of a RefSeq genome assembly.
UCUGCUCAGCUGUGAGGCACAGAAGGCAAGAUCUGUGAAGACCUCCACCAUGGCCUGGUCCCCUGUACUCCUCACCCUCCUCGUUCAGUGCACAGGAUCCUGGGCUGUGCUGACUCAGCCGCCCUCUGUGUCUGGGGCUCUGGGUGAGAGUGUCACCAUCCCCUGCACUGGAAUCCCUACCAGCAUGGAUUAUGAUGAAGAGGAAUACACAUAUUAUGUGAGCUGGUACCAACAGCUCCCAGGAAAGGUACCCAUUCUCCUCAUCUAUGAACAUAAUAACAGAAAUCCUGGAGUCCCUGAUCGAUUCUCUGGUUCCAAGUCAGGCAGCUCAGCCUCCCUGACCAUCAGUGGCCUUCAGGCUGAAGAUGAGGCUGAUUAUUACUGCCAGUCCACUGACAGUAGCUUCAGUGCUCACACAGUGUGUGGGGCCUUUGGAGGGGGAGCUCCAGCAGCUGUUGAGGCUCAGCCUGUGGUUUCUGCUUCUGAUGUUCCUGCUGCUGCCAUCAUGGGGCCAGGUGCAUAUCCAUACCAGGAGCUGCUCACCAUGCCUGGACAACAGCCUCAAGCCAUGUGUCACUGCAUGCUGCCACUCGAGGUCAGGGUCCACCAUUUCUGA